This 1086-nucleotide ribosomal RNA is filed under the name Duganella sp. RNAcentral describes it as "bacterial SSU rRNA". It matches the Rfam family "Bacterial small subunit ribosomal RNA", at positions 56 to 1145 of the family's 1533-position model. Lineage: Bacteria; Pseudomonadati; Pseudomonadota; Betaproteobacteria; Burkholderiales; Oxalobacteraceae. The record is from RNAcentral.
UGCAGUCGACGGCAGCGCGGGCUUCGGCCUGGCGGCGAGUGGCGAACGGGUGAGUAAUAUAUCGGAACGUACCCAAGAGUGGGGGAUAACGUAGCGAAAGUUACGCUAAUACCGCAUACGAUCUAAGGAUGAAAGCAGGGGAUCGCAAGACCUUGUGCUCCUGGAGCGGCCGAUAUCUGAUUAGCUAGUUGGUGGGGUAAAGGCCCACCAAGGCAACGAUCAGUAGCUGGUCUGAGAGGACGACCAGCCACACUGGAACUGAGACACGGUCCAGACUCCUACGGGAGGCAGCAGUGGGGAAUUUUGGACAAUGGGGGCAACCCUGAUCCAGCAAUGCCGCGUGAGUGAAGAAGGCCUUCGGGUUGUAAAGCUCUUUUGUCAGGGAAGAAAAGGCUGUGGCUAAUAUCCACGACUGCUGACGGUACCUGAAGAAUAAGCACCGGCUAACUACGUGCCAGCAGCCGCGGUAAUACGUAGGGUGCAAGCGUUAAUCGGAAUUACUGGGCGUAAAGCGUGCGCAGGCGGUUUCGUAAGUCUGUCGUGAAAUCCCCGGGCUUAACCUGGGAAUGGCGAUGGAGACUGCGAGGCUAGAGUUUGGCAGAGGGGGGUAGAAUUCCACGUGUAGCAGUGAAAUGCGUAGAGAUGUGGAGGAACACCGAUGGCGAAGGCAGCCCCCUGGGUCAAAACUGACGCUCAUGCACGAAAGCGUGGGGAGCAAACAGGAUUAGAUACCCUGGUAGUCCACGCCCUAAACGAUGUCUACUAGUUGUUGGGUCUUAAUUGACUUAGUAACGCAGCUAACGCGUGAAGUAGACCGCCUGGGGAGUACGGUCGCAAGAUUAAAACUCAAAGGAAUUGACGGGGACCCGCACAAGCGGUGGAUGAUGUGGAUUAAUUCGAUGCAACGCGAAAAACCUUACCUACCCUUGACAUGGCAGGAAUCCCGGAGAGAUCUGGGAGUGCUCGAAAGAGAACCUGCACACAGGUGCUGCAUGGCUGUCGUCAGCUCGUGUCGUGAGAUGUUGGGUUAAGUCCCGCAACGAGCGCAACCUUUGUCAUUAGUUGCUACGCAAGAACACUCUAAUG